GACGAACGCUGGCGGCGUGCUUAACACAUGCAAGUCGAACGGUAAGGCCCUUCGGGGUACACGAGUGGCGAACGGGUGAGUAACACGUGGGUGAUCUGCCCUGCACUUCGGGAUAAGCCUGGGAAACUGGGUCUAAUACCGGAUAGGACCACUGCCUGCAUGGGGGGUGGUGGAAAGCUUUUGCGGUGUGGGAUGGGCCCGCGGCCUAUCAGCUUGUUGGUGGGGUGAUGGCCUACCAAGGCGACGACGGGUAGCCGGCCUGAGAGGGUGACCGGCCACACUGGGACUGAGAUACGGCCCAGACUCCUACGGGAGGCAGCAGUGGGGAAUAUUGCACAAUGGGCGCAAGCCUGAUGCAGCGACGCCGCGUGAGGGAUGACGGCCUUCGGGUUGUAAACCUCCUUCAGCACCGACGAAGCGCAAGUGACGGUAGGUGCAGAAGAAGGACCGGCCAACUACGUGCCAGCCGCCGCUGUAA
Molecule: ribosomal RNA, 478 nt
Filed under: uncultured bacterium
Lineage: Bacteria
Description: partial 16S ribosomal RNA
Rfam family: Bacterial small subunit ribosomal RNA
Source: RNAcentral